Molecule: RNA transcript, 2446 nt
Organism: Daucus carota subsp. sativus
Lineage: Eukaryota; Viridiplantae; Streptophyta; Magnoliopsida; Apiales; Apiaceae
Gene name: CBL-interacting serine/threonine-protein kinase 23
Exons: 16
Source: RefSeq, a predicted model, not a curated record
AUCCAUGUAGUAUCUAGCACUUCCGAUUUUCCCAAAAAGAAAAAGAAAAAAAAGAUCGAUCAUCUUGAAAUCAAGCAAAAAAGAAUAAACCGAGUCAAACGAUUCUUUUUCAUUUCAGUGCCGGGUCAACUCGUUCAUUAAUGGGGUCAUCUUAUUUUUCAUUCUUUUGAAACCCUAUCAGACUUGUUUUUCCCCACCUGAUUUUAGUUUUCUUGGCUAUAUUUGUAGUUUUCUUGAAAAGGGUAGUCUUCUACUUGAUUUUUAGUUCUUUAUAGGUGUGAAUUUUAGUGAAUCUUUGUAAAAAGACAGAUUUUAUUUAGGAAGAUGAGUGUGAAGAAGUCUCAGGUUUGGCAGCCUUGUAAAAAGAAGAGAUCUUGAUUUUGUGGGCUUUGUUUUGUUUUUAAAUAUAAACUGAAACAAUAUAUGCACACACAUAUAUGUACAAUUCAUGGAUGGUAUUUGUAUAAUUCAGACUCUACAGUUAAAAAAGUCCACUUUUUAGACAAAAAAUUGAGGGUAGUUCUUGAAAGUUUAGGAGGAAAGAUUGGAUCUUGGAGCUAAUUAUGGCUAGUUUUUGAAGUUUGAGCAAAAAAGAUUGAAUCUUGAAGAGGAAUUGUGGUUAGUUUAUGAAGAUUGAGUAAAAAGAUAGAAUCUUGUAGUGAAAUAAUGGAUGGAAUCUGUAAUAUUUGAGGGGUUUGUAAAAUUCUGUUGGUAGGGAGUUACUGUUGAAUAGCUGUAUGUAGAGAGAGAUAUCUGAAGAUGGCAUCAAAAUCUUCGAGCAGUGGUGCUAGUAGCAGUAGUGGUGGCGGGAGGACUAAAGUGGGGAGGUAUGAGUUGGGAAGGACACUAGGGGAGGGGUCAUUUGCAAAGGUCAAAUUUGCCAAGAAUUCCGAGACUGGUGAAAAUGUGGCUAUUAAGAUUAUUGAUAAAGAGAAAGUUCUCAAGCAUAAAAUGAUUGGUCAGAUUAAACGUGAAAUUUCCACUAUGAAAUUAGUCAGACACCCGAAUGUUAUCCGUAUGCAUGAGGUUAUGGCAAGUAAGACAAAGAUAUAUAUUGUCCUGGAAUUUGUUACUGGCGGUGAACUCUUUGACAGAAUUGCUUCCAAGGGUAGGCUGAAAGAAGAUGAAGCGAGGAAGUACUUCCAGCAUCUCAUUAAUGCUGUGAACUACUGCCAUAGUCGAGGUGUUUUUCAUAGAGAUCUUAAGCCAGAAAAUCUGCUGCUGGAUGCAAAUGGUGUUCUCAAGGUUUCGGAUUUUGGUUUGAGUGCACUGCCUCAGCAAGUUCGGGAGGAUGGAUUGCUUCACACAACUUGUGGAACUCCCAACUAUGUGGCUCCUGAGGUGAUCAAUAAUAAAGGUUAUGAUGGAGCCAAGGCAGAUCUGUGGUCAUGCGGUGUAAUUCUUUAUGUCCUUAUGGCAGGUUAUUUGCCUUUCGAAGAAGCCAACCUCAUGGUGUUAUACAAAAAGAUAAAUAAAGCAGACUUCUCUUGUCCUCCCUGGUUCUCUUCAAGUGCAAAGAAAUUAAUCAAGAGAAUCCUGGACCCUAGUCCAGUAACACGGAUAACUAUUCAAGAGGUUAUUGAGAACGAGUGGUUUAAAAAAGGAUAUCAGCGACCUAAAUUUGAGCAAGAAGAUGUCAGUCUUGACGAUGUAGAUGCCAUUUUCGACGAAACAGGACAGGAAUCUCCAAAUCUCGUCGUGGAAAGGCGGGAUGAUCGUUCUGCAGCACCUGUCACUAUGAAUGCUUUUGAGCUCAUUUCCAAAUCUCAGGGCCUCAAUUUGAGCUCUCUUUUUGAAAAACAAAUGGGGCUCGUUAAACGAGAAACAAGAUUCACAUCUAAACGUCCUGCCAGUGAGAUAAUCUCAAAAAUAGAGGAAGCUGCUUUGCCCUUGGGUUUUGAUGUGAAGAAAAAUAACUACAAGCUGAAGUUGCACGGGGAGAAGAGUGGGCAUAAGGGUCACUUAUCUGUUGCAACUGAGAUAUUUGAAGUGGCACCGUCUCUUCACAUGGUUGAGGUUCGGAAGGCUGGAGGAGAUACUCUAGAAUUUCACAAGUUCUACAAAAACCUCUCAGUUGGAUUAAAUGAUAUUAUUUGGAAAACUGGAGAGGAGGCAUAAGGAUAUUCCAAUCUCUACGAUUGAAUUUAAAAGGCAAAAUAGUACCUUCCAACAUACAUAUACGCGGCCUCAAAUUUUGUGUUAACACUGGAUUCAUUUAUCAGGCCAAUUUUAGCCGAAAUAGUAUGGAAAUUGUAUAACAAGUGUUAUUGUAUUUUGAUUGCGAGUAUGAUGCAAGUACUUGUACAAGGUAUACACAAGUUGAUGUUCCUUAAAUAUAUAUGUUUUAUGAUCUGAAAUAUUAGAAGUCUCUAGGUAUUGAAGAACUGGGAUGCAUGUAACUAGAUGGAUUACACUUCAAUAAAUAUCAAUAUGUUUUUGAUAGACC